AUUAGAAAUAGAAAUUAUAAUGUUGUGUUUCAGGGUGUAUGUAAGGUAUUAAUUUUAGCUUGUUAACCAAUGAGUGCACUUUUCUUUUUCCUGCAACAACUUGCUCUCUCAGCUGGACUUCUUUCUAUCUAACCAGAUACUUUCAAGAUCUGGGAGCUUCAGGUUCCUUGCUCCCUUGGCUUUGCCGUUGAUAACUUCCUGUCCAAUCCUACCAAAGUCUGGAACUGGAACAUCCAAGGGUUGCCCUUAGACGCCUUCUCUACUGAGAAUGGCAUCAUCAUCAAGCGAGGCCAUAGGAAGAAGUGUUUAAACUAUAAACUGAGGAGGAGAAAAUAUCUAGGAAAAGAGAAGAAAGUUGGCAAAACCAUGGUCUCCUUCUUCCUGAAUUUGUAACUUGGCCUACAAAGAAAGCAUCAGUCCUACUACACAGGAAGAGUCAACACUCGGAGGAGGCCUUCUGCACUUUGUCCUCUCCUUCUUUUCACUCCUCAUAAUGGGAAAGAAAUAAAUAACAGGAUAUCCAGUUUAGACUGAGGAUCAGAGAAGUCCUCUCUGAGGAAGUGCCUCUUAAGAUGAUGGCUGAAGAAGGCAUAUGAGUUAGCCCAAUGGACAAUGAAAGGAAAAUUACUGUAUUACAAGCAGAAAAAAACAACAUGUGAAUGCCUGGAGGCCCUGAGGCCCUUAGGUGAGAAACUGCUUGUCUGCAUGUGGUUCAGAGAAAACAAAUUAUAUAAAACGAAGUUAGCAGCGUCGGAAAGGUUUGUUAAGGAUUUUUUGUUUUAAGAUUUUGUAAGACCACUCAGGCUAUUGUUUCGAGAAUGAAUCAGAGGCAGGAGUAGGGUUGGCGAGGAUGCAAAAGAGAUGGGGAUAUCUAAUAUUACUUUAGCAGACUCUCUCCUUUCUGUCACUUGUUAUCCUGUGAAGAUAUCACUUGCUGCCCAA
RNAcentral lists this long non-coding RNA (942 nucleotides) under Homo sapiens (human). Its description in RNAcentral is "HSALNT0364683". Lineage: Eukaryota; Metazoa; Chordata; Mammalia; Primates; Hominidae. The record is from RNAcentral.